GCAGGAUUUGGGGAAUGCACACACACAGGCUCAGUGUAUUUCUCAAGGUACCAGGACUAGGACUCAAACUGUGCAGUCAGUCACAUGGGAUCCAGACAUUUUAACCACCAUGCAAUGACUUCGCCUGUGUUUUGUGAUUUAAUUAUAGAAAGAUGUGUCAGUUCUGCAGCCUAAAAAUAUUUACUUAUUAAAACUAUACCAGUACUUUAAUCAACUAUAUGAAAAAGAUAAUGAGACAGACAUGUGCAUUUAUAGAACUGCGUAUCAGUCAGGCCAGAUCCCUGCGGAGGGAAUUCCUGCAUAACCUCGCUCAUCUGUGAGGACACAGAGCAGUCCUUGUUCGGACGGGCACACUCAUCUAACUUGUCUGGCGUGGUUCUUCAGUGACAAAAUUUACAUCUAACUGAUUUAAUCAAAUCAACUACUCAAUCUACUUGUUAACCUAGACUUUUUCUUUUUCAUGACUUGUUUUUGUUUUUGUUUAAGAUUACAUUUGGGAAUUUAAGUAUCUUUUCGUUCAGCGCAACUGCAUACUAGAGAGCUUAGAGCUGCAUACCACGCCGUGGUCGUCCUGCGAGUGCCUGUUCGAUGAUGAUACUAGGGCAGUUUCCUUCAAAGAACAUUUUCAGAAAAGUGUAUCCUCCCCUGUGAAGAUUUCAGACUUAGCAACCCACCUGAAGGAUAAGUGUUCAGUCCGCCCGUCCCCAGCCCGUCCAGGCAACCCUCACCUCGUUCCCGUGGUUUUCUGUGGACGGAGCCGUGCCCGUGUGCUGUCCGGCUGACAUUUUGCACUUAGCUCUGUGAGGAGCGCGCAGUCUCGCCCUCUCACCUUUCGUGUGGACGCGCCUUUCCCUCCCGUCCUCACCACAGCCCAGGUGUGGGACUCACCAGGAGCCUCAAGCAGGCCCUCCACCUGGCGCCCCUCAGCUCGGGCCCUGCCUCCUGCUCGCACUCGGACACAGAGCCACUCCUGCCACAGGCCAGGAGGGCCAGGCGUCCUCCCUCACUUCUCUCGGCCUGGCCGUGUCUAGGCAGGUGCCCCUCCCUGCCCACAUGCGGUUACAGGCCCCCGUAAGCCUUCGGAUUUGAUCUCUGCUUUCAGGAGCAAGCACACAGGGCGGACGGGGCACCCAGGCACUCCGCGGCUGACUCGCAGGGAGGGUCCUGGGUUUCCUUUUUGUUGAGAAAGAGAGACAAAAAGAGAGAGAAGAAAGAAAACCCUGAACAACAGGGCUCAGACAGUGCCCUGGUGGGUUCAGACAGUGCUGCUGCGCCUGGAGAGGGCGUGGGGUGCCCCCGCCGCUCUGCCCCAGGAGGGAGUGCCCUGCAGGAGGGACUCGGCUUCCUGGAGGGAUUCCGGUGCGCAGGCAGGAUGGGUUCAUCUGUCCAGCCGAGUCGGCCAGGCAGGUGGCCCCUCGACUCUCAGUAAACGAAGCUGUGAGUGAGCGGGACCGUCCA
Molecule: long non-coding RNA, 1458 nt
Organism: Tupaia belangeri chinensis (Chinese tree shrew)
Lineage: Eukaryota; Metazoa; Chordata; Mammalia; Scandentia; Tupaiidae
Exons: 3
Source: RefSeq, a predicted model, not a curated record